This 231-nucleotide ribosomal RNA is filed under the name uncultured bacterium. RNAcentral describes it as "partial 16S ribosomal RNA". It matches the Rfam family "Bacterial small subunit ribosomal RNA", at positions 524 to 753 of the family's 1533-position model. The record is from RNAcentral.
UACGAAGGGGGCUAGCGUUGCUCGGAAUCACUGGGCGUAAAGGGUGCGUAGGCGGGUCUUUAAGUCAGGGGUGAAAUCCUGGAGCUCAACUCCAGAACUGCCUUUGAUACUGAGGAUCUUGAGUUCGGGAGAGGUGAGUGGAACUGCGAGUGUAGAGGUGAAAUUCGUAGAUAUUCGCAAGAACACCAGUGGCGGAAGGCGGCUCACUGGCCCGAUACUGACGCUGAGGCA